UCCUACGGGGGGCAGCAGUGGGGAAUUUUACGCAAUGGGCGAAAGCCUGACGUAGCGACACCGCGUGAGCGAAGAAGCCUUUUGGGGUGUAAAGCUCUGUCAGCUGGAAAGAACACAAUGACGGUACCAGCAGAGGAAGCAUCGGCUAACUACGUGCCAGCAGCAGCGGUAAGACGUAGGAUGCAAGCGUUGUCCGGAUUUAUUGGGCGUAAAGAGUUCGUAGGCUGUUUGUUAAGUCUGGUGUUAAAGACUGAGGCCAAACCUCGGAAAUGCAUCGGAUACUGGCAGAUUUGAGUACGGUAGAGGCGAGUGGAAUUCCCAGUGUAGCGGUGAAAUGCGUAGAUAUUGGGAAGAACACCGGUGGCGUAGGCGACUCGCUGGGCCGCAACUGACGCUGAGGAACGAAAGCCAGGGGAGCGAAUGGGAUUAGAUACCCCAGUAGUC
Molecule: ribosomal RNA, 444 nt
Filed under: uncultured bacterium
Lineage: Bacteria
Description: bacterial SSU rRNA
Rfam family: Bacterial small subunit ribosomal RNA
Source: RNAcentral